Molecule: long non-coding RNA, 357 nt
Organism: Bufo bufo (common toad)
Lineage: Eukaryota; Metazoa; Chordata; Amphibia; Anura; Bufonidae
Exons: 3
Source: RefSeq, a predicted model, not a curated record
UAGAACAGUGCUGGAAGGGGAGAAGAACAAAGAGGAAGAUGAUGUCUUGAAUGACUGUAUUUCAAUUGCACUGAAGUAAGGAGCAGAACUGGUAGGGAUGUGCAAUCUGUGCCCUGAUUUACGGCUCAAUACCUGCCACUACCGAAGGGGGCGUCACUAUGGGCAAGGAGGUGAUAUGGAUUGUGCCUGGUAUCUUUGGACAUUUCAGCCAUUGGAACUGAACAGAAGAUGCUUUUUGAAGGCCUUCUUAACCACCAUCUGUCCUCACAAAUGCUUUUCUGGAUGAAUGGGCAAAAAUCCCCACAGACACAGUCCAAAAUCUUGUAGAAAUCCUUCACAGAAGAAUGAAAGCUGUUU